MicroRNA precursor from Notamacropus eugenii (tammar wallaby), 83 nucleotides. Ensembl annotates it as microRNA 26a-2. Its record names the gene MIR26A2. The record is from Ensembl. Lineage: Eukaryota; Metazoa; Chordata; Mammalia; Diprotodontia; Macropodidae.
GGCUGCGGCCAGGUUCAAGUAAUCCAGGAUAGGCUGUGUCCAGCUGCUGGCCUAUUCUUGAUUACUUGUUUCUGGAGGCAGCU